Sander lucioperca (pikeperch) is the source of this 287-nucleotide long non-coding RNA. RefSeq lists it as uncharacterized. Lineage: Eukaryota; Metazoa; Chordata; Actinopteri; Perciformes; Percidae. The record is from RefSeq and is a predicted model, not a curated record. The transcript has 3 exons.
AUUCGUGAGCUUAGAAUUAUAAGGUUCUAUCUCCAUUUAGGGUAGUUCUGAGAUAUUGAGCAUCAAAGUUUUUACAUCCCAGCCGGCAAAACUGUUAUGUAGUAUUUUAUUUUAUUAAUAACUAACUAACAAAAUAUUUUUUUUACAAAAAUAACACCACACAGGCAUUAAUAAACACCUAAUGGAUCAGAUUAUGUCAAAAACUCAAUUUCGACCAAAAGUGGAGAUAGAACCUCAUAAUUCUAAGCUCACGAAUUGUAUUUUAUGCAUGUGUUCAUGGUCUGAGG